RNAcentral lists this ribosomal RNA (497 nucleotides) under uncultured bacterium. RNAcentral describes it as "partial 16S ribosomal RNA". It matches the Rfam family "Bacterial small subunit ribosomal RNA", at positions 28 to 507 of the family's 1533-position model. The record is from RNAcentral.
GAUGAACGCUGGCGGCGUGCCUAAUACAUGCAAGUCGAGCGAACAGACGAGGAGCUUGCUCCUCUGACGUUAGCGGCGGACGGGUGAGUAACACGUGGAUAACCUACCUAUAAGACUGGGAUAACUUCGGGAAACCGGAGCUAAUACCGGAUAAUAUAUUGAACCGCAUGGUUCAAUAGUGAAAGACGGUUUUGCUGUCACUUAUAGAUGGAUCCGCGCCGCAUUAGCUAGUUGGUAAGGUAACGGCUUACCAAGGCAACGAUGCGUAGCCGACCUGAGAGGGUGAUCGGCCACACUGGAACUGAGACACGGUCCAGACUCCUACGGGAGGCAGCAGUAGGGAAUCUUCCGCAAAGGGCGAAAGCUUGACGGGGCAACGCCGCGUGAGUGAUGAAGGUCUUCGGAUCGUAAAACUCUGUUAUUAGGGAAGAACAAAUGUGUAAGUAACUAUGCACGUCUUGACGGUACCUAAUCAGAAAGCCACGGCUAACUACGUG